Salvia splendens (bonfire salvia) is the source of this 1048-nucleotide long non-coding RNA. RefSeq lists it as uncharacterized. The transcript has 4 exons. The record is from RefSeq and is a predicted model, not a curated record. Lineage: Eukaryota; Viridiplantae; Streptophyta; Magnoliopsida; Lamiales; Lamiaceae.
AUAAGAUUCCACACAAUUGAGAAAGCCGCAGCUACACGAAGAGCUAGGUCAAAAACUCACCGCCUCCAUAGAUUCGAUUUGAAUUUGAAUAUUUGAUUGCUGUGGCCGAGAUGAAGCAAUACUCUGUUUCCCUUCAUCUGUUCGGGCAAAUGCCUCAAAGAGUUGUUCAUGUAGAUCUGUACACUCUGAGUGUGGCGAUUGAUUGCUUUUGCCGACUGAAAAGAACUGAUUUGGAUUUCGCAACCUUGACAGUUUUUGUAAGAGUUGGCGGGAGCCUCGGCUGAGAAACUGUGUGAACCUAAUGAAUUUGGUCUGUAGUACUUGUUCAAGACGGGUGUAGCUAUAAGCUAUAUUGACUUGAUGAACGGGUACUGCAAAAAGCUUUUUGUAGAUGUUGGUGUAAUGAAUGAGAUAAUAUGUCGGUAGAAAAAUCAUACAUCUAAUGAUUUGAAAGUUUUGUACUCCUUCAAAGACUUGUCCAACAUCUACAUAAAAAUCUUUUCAAUGAAUGCAUUAAUGCAUAUUGGAAAGAAUUUUAGAAAGAUGCAAACGCAUAAUCGUCGUUAUAAUCAUAACGACGAUUGCGACGAGCAUAAGAGAAGGUGACGCUGGAGUGGAGUGUGCCCGAUUACAAGCGGAAUUGGAAGAUGAACUCCCACAUCCACCAAGCCAUCAUAGCAGCUCGCGCAUAGAGGAAUCCGAGGAUUCAGAUAAGCAAACAAUGUCGUUGUUAACCAGUUGAAGAUCUCAAGUCAACAAUUCCAUCAAAUGAGAAUCAAGUCAAUAAUUCCAUCAAAUGAGAAGAAGUGUAAGAAUAAAUUAAGUAAACUAGGGCAUUGCUAGAAUAGUUGAAGAACCUUAGUCAAGGAGAAGUGAAUUAUAGGUAUACUAUCUUUAUCCAUAAAAUAAUUCCACCAAAUGAGAAUAGUAGAUUAAUUACUACAUUUAUCUACAAAAAUAGUUUUUGUAGUGGAUAAGUGUUUUACUACAAAGUUUGUAAAGUAAGAGAAUAAUUCAAGGAAAAGAUAUUGAAUUAUUAUUAGUGUAA